AACGAACGCUGGCGGCGUGCCUAACACAUGCAAGUCGAGCGCGAAUGGGGGCAACCCCUAGUAGAGCGGCGGACGGGUGCGUAACACGUGGGUAAUCUGCCUCAGAACCUGGGACAACCUGCCGAAAGGCUGGCUAAUACCGGAUAAGACCACGAGCUCUUCGGAGCUUGGGGUAAAAGGUGGCCUCUGUAUACAAGCUAUCAUUCUGAGAUGAGCCCGCGGCCCAUCAGCUAGUUGGCGAGGUAACGGCUCACCAAGGCAACGACGGGUAGCUGGUCUGAGAGGACGAUCAGCCACACUGGAACUGAGACACGGUCCAGACUCCUACGGGAGGCUG
RNAcentral lists this ribosomal RNA (337 nucleotides) under uncultured Pseudomonadota bacterium. RNAcentral describes it as "bacterial SSU rRNA". It matches the Rfam family "Bacterial small subunit ribosomal RNA", at positions 29 to 351 of the family's 1533-position model. Lineage: Bacteria; Pseudomonadati; Pseudomonadota. The record is from RNAcentral.